Molecule: ribosomal RNA, 292 nt
Filed under: uncultured bacterium
Lineage: Bacteria
Description: partial 16S ribosomal RNA
Rfam family: Bacterial small subunit ribosomal RNA
Source: RNAcentral
GUGCCAGCAGCCGCGGUAAUACAGAGGGUGCAAGCGUUGUUCGGAAUUACUGGGCGUAAAGCGCGUGUAGGCGGUUUGGUAAGUCAGAUGUGAAAUCCCUCAGCUUAACUGAGGAACUGCAUCUGAUACUGUCAAACUUGAGUAUCGGAGGGGAUGGCAGAAUUCCUGGUGUAGAGGUGAAAUUCGUAGAUAUCAGGAGGAAUACCUGUGGCGAAGGCGGCCAUCUGGAAGAUAACUGACGCUGAGACGCGAAAGCGUGGGGAGCAAACAGGAUUAGAUACCCUGGUAGUCC